RNAcentral lists this long non-coding RNA (1687 nucleotides) under Gallus gallus (chicken). Lineage: Eukaryota; Metazoa; Chordata; Aves; Galliformes; Phasianidae. The record is from RNAcentral.
CGUCCAGCACAGCAAACGUUUAUUUGCCUUUUUUAGAAAACUCUUUUACAAAUUUUGGGGCCAGGAUGGCAAAGUUGGGGGGGGGGGGGGGCACCCCAAAAUCAGACCCCCCAAGGAUGGGAAUACCGCAGUGUGUGCGUGUGGGGCUCAGUCCUUUGGGGUCUACGGGGGACCCUUGGGAGGGUGUGGGGGUGUUUUUGGGGUCCCCAUUUGGGGACUCUAUUGGGUGAAUCCAGGCUGGUUUGGGAACCCCCUCCCCCCCAAAGUGGGUUUUGGGGGACCCCGGGUUGUUUUGGGGGUCCCUGAGGCCCUCCUGAGAGACCCUUUGGGGUCCCUUCGGGGUCCUCCAGCCCCCCUUUUAGCCCUCCCUUCUCCCCACCCAAUCCAUGGGGGGACCCCAAAAUCCAUUUGGGAUGGUCUGGAAUGGCACUGCAGACGUCCGGGUCACUUUGGGGUCCCCAAAAAGCAUUUUGGGGUCUCCCAAAUCUAUUGGGGGGGUGGGGGGAAUGUGAACCCAGCGGGGGACCCCAAAGACCCCCAAAUCAAAGUUUAGGAUCAGAAAAGGCAAUUUUGGGUCCCAAAAUACCAAAUUUAGGAUCCCAAAGCGUAACUUUGAGAUCCCAAAUACUCUUUUGGCUAUCCCAAAACCCUUUUGGGACCGCGAAGUCCGAUUUUGGGACCCCAAAGCUCAAACGUAAGACCCCCCAAACCCAACUUUGGGCACAGAACGACCAAUUUGGGGCCCAAAGACACCAACAUGGAUACCCCAAAGACCCCAGAAGCCCCCAUGGGAUCCCUGGAGCCGCACUGCGAGGCCACACAGCCAACGAAGCAGCACACGGACGCGGUUCAGCGAUGAGAUUCAGGGCGCAGGGUCGGGAUUGGGGGUAAGGAAGCCGUGUGGAGGGGUGGUGGUGGGGGGGGUGGGCUUUGGGGUGAAUGGGGGGGGUUUUGGGGUUCAGAGGAAGGCGUCGCACCACUCGCGCAGGCAGCCGGAGCAGUCCCGGCAUUGCUUGGCGUUGGCCCCGCAGGCGUCGCGCAGCCAUUCCCGGAACAGCUCCUCGUCCUUCUUCAGCACCAGGAACUGUCCGAGCACCACGUAGGCCUUGUCGAAGCCCUUCUCCUCCAGCUUCUUGCCCAGCACGUCGCCGAUCCCCGCCAGCGUCCCCACCGGUUUGUCGCCCAUCGGCUCCGCCACGAAGUCCCGGUGCUUCUGCGACGUCGACGACAUCUCGGCUGCCCGGGGACUCCGCCGCAAUCGCUGCUACAGUCUCAGGCCGCCGCCGCCGCCGCGCAAUGGCGUCACUUCCUGCCGCCGCAGCCGCGUGUUGACGUCGCUUCCGGCCGCCGAGCCGCCGUGUUGCGGGUGCUUCCGGUUUGCGCCGGAAGUGUCGCUCUGGGCGGAGCGGAGGAACCAUAGAGACGGGCGGAGGGAGGGGAUUUUGCCCCAAAUUUGGGGGAUUUUGGGGCUCGUUGAGGGAAAAAGCAGCGCAAAUCGCCGCUAUUGAGGCUUCUGGAAGGAAAGCGUUGGUUUUAUAUCGCCCGGAACGCAGCAUCGGCCCCAAUUGCAGCGAGAGCCCUUUUUGGGGUCACUCUGUGGGUUUGGGGGUUCCUCUUUAUUUUGCCCCAUUUUAUCAUCCCGCACCCCAAAAUUGCCCAUUCCUUCCCCUUCUGAGCCCUAAAUCUG